AGUGAACGCUGGCGGUAGGCCUAACACAUGCAAGUCGAACGGCAGCACAGUAAGAGCUUGCUCUUACGGGUGGCGAGUGGCGGACGGGUGAGGAAUACAUCGGAAUCUACUUUUUCGUGGGGGAUAACGUAGGGAAACUUACGCUAAUACCGCAUACGACCUACGGGUGAAAGCAGGGGAUCUUCGGACCUUGCGCGAUUGAAUGAGCCGAUGUCGGAUUAGCUAGUUGGCGGGGUAAAGGCCCACCAAGGCGACGAUCCGUAGCUGGUCUGAGAGGAUGAUCAGCCACACUGGAACUGAGACACGGUCCAGAAUCCUACGGGAGGCAGCAGUGGGGAAUAUUGGACAAUGGGCGCAAGCCUGAUCCAGCCAUACCGCGUGGGUGAAGAAGGCCUUCGGGUUGUAAAGCCCUUUUGUUGGGAAAGAAAAGCAGCAGGUUAAUCCCCCGAUGUUCUGACGGUACCCAAAGAAUAAGCACCGGCUAACUUCGUG
This 492-nucleotide ribosomal RNA is filed under the name uncultured bacterium. RNAcentral describes it as "partial 16S ribosomal RNA". It matches the Rfam family "Bacterial small subunit ribosomal RNA", at positions 29 to 507 of the family's 1533-position model. The record is from RNAcentral.